Non-coding RNA from Mycena rebaudengoi, 105 nucleotides. The record is from the annotation of a GenBank genome assembly. NCBI's taxonomy places the organism in Eukaryota, Fungi, Basidiomycota, Agaricomycetes, Agaricales, Mycenaceae.
UGCCCCUUGGCCCAGUUGGUUAAGGCGCACGACUGUUACAUGUGACAGGUCACCUGACUAUCACGUGAUAUCGUGCGAUCGAGAGUUCAAGUCUCUCAGGGGCAG